UUCCCAGAUCCUCCCACAGCUUAAGCUGAAAUGAUUGCUAAUAAGUGGCUCCUCAUCUUUCUACUGGCUGUGUUUAUCUUACUCCACCCUCAGAAAUUCCCAAAGUCCUCUGGGUUUUCCGGGAUUGUUAACAGUCAUCCACAGUAACACUGCAGAGAACUUCAGGAGCUCAAAAAUUAAUUGCAUCAUGUCCUGCAGAUUUGGAUACAGUUAGUUUGUUUAAAUAGUUUCUGUGAGGGGGUAUUUUUAUGAAGACAACUCUUGUGUUUUGUUGACCAGAUGUCCUACAUACAUCCUGGUUUACAGAGUCUUUGCUCCAAAUUUCUGCAAUUGAUGCUGUGUGUUUGUGGCAAAGGAAGACUCUCAAAAAGACAACCCAGUUGCAGGUCAGCAAACAGCUGGUCCUGUACAAAGACAUCUCAGAGUCUGGCUCAUUCUAUAUUCUGUAUCUGUACUUAAAGAAAGUCUCCCCAAAACCUUAAACUUCAAACUCGAAGAGCAUUUCACAAAAUCAUUAGUGUUAAAUCACUGUGACAGUUUUCUCAAUCUGUGAAACAAAAAUUCCUUUCUAAUAUGUACAAGUCUGUUCUAAGAAACCUGCAAAAACCCUUUCUAGGAAACAAGAUACCUCUGGUAACCUAGCUAUGUUGACCUAUAUUGGAGAGUGGAGUAGAGGAAGAUUUGUGUACAGUCAUCAGUGGAAAUUCCAUCAGCCCAAGGGCUAUUUCUGUAUGCUCAGACAUGCCUGAAGGUGUCUAAAGUCCAAGCAGUUCUUUUAGUCAUGGAGAUCAGUGCUGGAAGACAUGGUGGGAGGAAGGAUGCCCUCUGUUCUGGCUCCAAACAGAAUCUCAUGUUAAUGAGAUGGAUUUAAUUUCCCUGAACGGCACAUAUUGCACUAACCUUGUGCUGUUAGUACAAGUAAAUACUGAAAAAAUCUAUAGGUUUCAGGCUGUAAUCCAAGUUGCAAGUGAACCCACACCCACAGGAUUCAUUGCUGUUCACUACGUGCAGUCACACAGAAAAGUGUUUGAUUUUUUCAGUAUUGAUGUGAUGGAAACCAGGUGGCGAAACAUGGGUGAAUCAACUGUUGCACUGCAAGAUAAUGAAUUACUCUUACUCUCAGCUUCCCUCUAAACUGAGCUGAAAAUUUAAUUAUUUUUGGGAUGCCCACUCUGGAGUGAGCUUGUGCAAAAUGGUACAUUUCUUCCAUGCUCAGUAACCUCAAUUUAUUUACUCUUCUUCCAACUACUUACUUUGAAAUAUUUGUAUAUUUGCAAAUAUGUAAAACUUUCUCCUGGAACCAUCAAGACCAACUAUUGGGUGAAUUGAUUAAAUAAUUAUGUUAAUUACAUUUACUCAACUGAAUUCCUGAGGGAAUAAAGGAGUAGAAUCAUAGAAUUAUAGAAUCAUGGAAUGGUUUGGGUUGGAAGGGACCUUAAAGACCAUCUCACUUUCCCAUGGGUGGGGAGCCAUGGAGAGAAUAAGAGAAAUAUUAGUGUCAGAAAGUUAAUGUAUCUUACCUAGGUUUUAUUUCCACUUUCUUAUGGAAACUUUACAGAUGCUAUGUCAUAAAACCCACAAGCGCAGAUAGCAAGUGCUUUCUUGUGCUGUUAGUAAACCCUUUGUAAGAUCAAAUGAGGACACCAGAGACACAGUGGUACCAUGUGAGCUUUAGCUCCCAGUUGUGAUGCACUUGCAAAUUCUCACUGCUGUGAAAUGCACCUCUGCAAAAGCUGCUCAGAGUCAUGUGAAGAAAUCCAGAAUUUAGAAGGGAUCUUGGGAUUUGUCAGCCUGAUGUGAAAAUGCAAAAAUUGAUGGGCUACAGCCUGACUGCUCCCUAUGUUUUCCAUCCAACCAUCUACUGUAUUGAGACUAGUCUAGGCAGAUUCAUUUUGGCAGUGACAACAGAAGAUGUAAGUCAGGUAUAUUGGAUGGAUCAGUCUUGAUCUUCCCAAUGGAAGUGUGUCCUCCUGUGUACAUAACCUCAUAUCCCUUUGGGAUCCCAUUGCUGCAGAAUGGAACCCAAAAUAGGCAUUCUUGGUUCUUCUGCUAUUUGCUCCCAUGUGGCCGAGAAGUAACUCAAGGCAUUUUGCAAUAAUCUAUGCAGUGAGCAGAAGAACUAGUUGUUAUCUCUGCUUUUCUGGUUUUGCCUUUUUUUCUUUUCUUAUUUUCAAACUCACAAUGAAUUUGGUGCAUUUGGUAGUGGCUGUGACAAAAUGGGAAGUACAGUGGGAAUUUACAUUUAUAAGUACUUUCGUGACAUCCAUUUGAGAUGGCUGCACUUGAAUAUGAGACUUUAUCAACAGCACAAAUAUAGACUUGGAUAUGUGCUAUGUGAAUAUGAGACUUUACCAAUAGCACAAAGGAAGGAACAUCAGCCAGAACUACACAUCCAGAAACACGGAUCAGGGGAGGUCCAUGAAGUUGAUCUGGCAGAAAAGAAUGAUUUAAGUACAGCAAGUAGUUUGGGGUAUUUUGAGUAAAAAGUGCAAAACAGAAUUGAAAGUAUUGAUGAGAAUCUGAUGGUCAUCAGGCUAAUGUCAGUGAUGAGGGUAAAAAUCAGCCCAUUUUCUUCCGAGCUCCUUCUGAUGUGGCAGGCAGCUUUAGGCAUGCUGGGACCUAAGUGACAGUGGGAAGGACUGGAAACUCCUCUUCCGAGAUGUGGUGAGCUGAUGGUGCUCACAAGUCAUGUGGUGGUUUCUGCAUCAGAGGAAAAAUGUCACCCAUGCACAGGAACUGCAAAAACAAACAAAACCAAAUUUUUACAAGUAGUUGCGGAUUUAUAUAUUAAUAUCUUCCAUGAAAUGCACCUUCAAACCCAAGAAAUUAGUUAUCAUCACAAAGCCACAGCUGUUGAUAGGAUCCUUGUAGCCAAAGGUUUUACCUGGGCAUUUUUUACAGGUUUGUCUGGGAUAAAAAUGACCUGUGUAGUGACCUGUGACCUUCUUGUCUGUGUAGUGAAUCCUUUUGCCACCUUUGCACUUUAUUGUGAAUAAAAACAAAGUUGAACACUAGGGAGAUUUUUAUAAGGGUCUUAUACAAACUAAAUGUAUGAUUAUAUAAUUCCUAAGAAACAAAAUCCUAAAAUGUAGUUUGCUUAUGUGACCGUGUAUUAGGGUCCUUACAUCAUGCUUUCACAUUUUCUUUAGUUAUGUUUUGCUCAUUUUUCCCAUGAAAAAUUUGUUGAAUCUUUGUUUUGCUGAGGGUGGACCUCUCUUGGGUGGCAGUUGUUCUGUAGUAUUUCUAUCUUAUAAGUCAUUGUUUUGCAAGCUUAAUAAUCCUUAAAAGUAAUUUUUUUCCCAUGUAAUUUUGAGGUUUCUUUUACCAAGUAAACCAAACCCCAAAAUCCCAGGCAAUGUAUCUUGUGUAGUCAAAGGGACACCAGUGUAGUUGAGAACUCAGUGAACAGCACUGUAUAAGGCCAUAGAGAUUUCAAACAAAAAGUCAUUUCAUGUUUUCAGUCUUACUAAAUUUCUUUUUAUACUAGGUCCUAUUUUUAGAACCUAGUGACAUCUUCCAGAUGAGUCAGCAUCUCAGUCAACAUGGAAAUUUUUGUCCUGGUGAUUAAAUAUUGAUAAGUCUGUUGAGAAAAGAAAAUGACAGCUAACAUAUGAGGCUUCCCACAAAAGGGAAAAGAUGCAUCUUUUGGAAGUACACUAGAAAAAAAGUAUCACCUCCAUCUUGGUGCAACCAGUUGGAUUCAGCAAUGGAAAAAUACCUGCAGCUCUGUGGGAGCUGGUGAUGCACCCCAACUCCUCAAUGGCAAAAAUGCUGAGAGUCAGAGGUUAAGAGCCCAAUAGGAAUUUGUGAAGCAAAGUCUUAAGGCACUUUGUGGCUCCCCAGCAGCUGCAAGAAAACCUGCUUGGAAGAUUAAUCACAUCCUUCGGAAGUUUUCAACAUCUCUAGGUCAGAUGACAGGAACAUCAAUGUUUAGAAUUGCUAUGCUAUUUUUAAACAAACAAGAAGAGAGACCAUUUAUUUCUAACUAAUUUCAAACAACCAGGAUAUUUUUUUCCUCUGUGUGUCUCAAAUUGCUUUCCCCACAGAGCUAUGGAGAGGGCAGCACACAGCCCAUACCCAUCAGUGCACACUGAGCAGGCCAGGGCCCGUGGCAAUGAUUCCAUGGCUGCAAGCAAACUGAUUUGAAAACACAGAGGUGAGAAAUCAAAUAUGUAUCCAUGUCGGCUUGUUGUGUUAGGGGGAAAAAAAGGAGGAAUUUUCAGGUUGCUGUGAGGAUUUCAGUCUGCUUUGCCACACCUGAGCAAUGACAAAUGGGUUUCUAGAUCUCAUUUGAUUGUCUGAUAAACUACUGCAUUCCAAUACCUCUUACCCUUAGGAAAAGAGAAGUAGGUUCUGGGAGUAAGCGUGCUACUUUAAAGCAACCAACAGACAGUGCCUUUAGUAUCAUUAUCUGGAAGAGCCACAGGCAGCACAACAUGCCUUUUGCUUAAGUGCUGCUGGCUGGCAGCUCCUGCUGCUCCCGCUCUGCUCCUCUGGAAGGCAGAGAAAACAUUGCUCUCCAAGGAAUGGCUUGGUCUGUAUUAGGAAAAGAUCUGGAGAUCUCUUGUGUGCUUAAAGGCAGCUGCUUUAAUAUUCAAGAGGUAUUUUCAAAAUAUUGACAUAAAUGGAAAAUAAAAGCCUUCUGGAAAAGCACUUUGCUAUGGAGAGCAUCAUGUGCUUGCACGCGUCAGUGACCUGGGAGAGUUACCACUCCAGGGUGUAAAGAGUUUAGCUCAACAGAAACAUUCUUCAUGUCAUUAAAAAAGCCAACUCACUUUCUGUUGGUGUACCUAUUUAGGUUAUGUUUCUGGGUGCAUGUCUUUGCUUACCAACACUGGGGUUUUGGUGCCAUCUUGCCCGAUAUCUCAUCUCUGUGAGAUCUAAGAUGCCUCAUAUGCAAAUUCAGGGAGUACUUAGCAUCACUCCACUCCUCAGAUUUCAUCUUCCUCCUCUUCCAGAGGCUAUUAAGCAAUGCAAGUCUUUGCUACUGUUAAUUCUGGAUUUAAAUGCUGCUGCUGAAGCAUGCUCUUGUGAGCACUUAAUUGUUUCAUGCAAUGGCUUUUCCCUUUGACUGGAGUUAUCCAAACCCCUCAUCACUUUGGUUUUAUUUAUGCCCCCUUUUUGCACAUUCCAUCUUGCAUCCAUUCAUUGAGACAGGGAUUUGUUUCCCUUACAUCCAUUUUAUUAGACUAUACAGUCUAUUUUAUUCUCUUUCAAGAAAUAAUAUUUGAUUCAAAAUAUUAAGGAAAAUUCUAUUUAAUGGCUACUUGUGCUGUUACCUUGAUAAACAGUGAGUUUUCCCUGUGCAACAAACUCAGUGCUGAUGUUUCUACAGUACUUCUAGAAAACCAUAUUAUUAAGGCUCAGCUCUGAUAUUCAUACCUCUUUUACCUUUUUUUUGAAUGGUUUUCUAAAUUCUUAACCUUGUUAUUAUAAAAAUUUAAUGACGAAUCAAUUCUAUCUUUUAAUUAAACCAGCACAAAUAGGCAGCUGGCAGAUGGUAAUGGCAAGAAGGCAAAUGACAUCAAAAGCCCUGAUAAACUGGACUAAAGGGCUUUUUCUCUGCAACAAAAGAGCUUGUUUAAAAGGUGUUCCAUUCGAGUACAAGCUGAUAGAAAAUAAUGAAUAAAUGUGUGAGAUGAUAGAUAGUAAUAAAAAGUUUUAUAAAAGCAUUUCAGCCUGUGCUCUCAAUGGGGAUAUUUGUGCAGCUCUAUGACUUCUGAUGCUUUUACUGCAGUUGACUCUCUCCCAAUUGUCUGAAUGAGCUUCUGACAGCAGAUGGCAUCUUCCUCAAAACCAGAAAUCAAAAAGGGAUUGUACAGGAGGAAACAAGAUAGAAAGUUCAUUGCCUUGCUCUGGCGGUCUGCUGCUGUUGACAAGGUCACAUCAAAGAUCAAUGCCAAAAUUUGGCCAUGAGAAUUCUCUCUGCUCACACAGUUGGGGCACCAGCAGAGCAGCAGUAGCACCUGUGCACUCCUUGCAUAACUCCACCAGAAGUAAUUCAGAGAGUUAAUGGAAAUACCCGAUGGUCUGGGAUCUUGCCUGACCCUUGGUUGCCACCAUGAGGCCUGUCCUGCUUGCAAGGCUUCAAGGAAUUGCACUGUCUGGGAGGACAGGUGUGUUGCUGUGGCUUCGGGAGCCAUCAGCCUGCACUAACUGUAGCUGUACCCUUGCCAUUAAGGUAGGAAAAGAUAAAAUGGCAGAAGAGGAGGCUGGUGAUGGAGAAAACAAAGAACAAACAACUGCAUCUUCUAGGGUAACACAUUAAUCAUCGCUGCUAUGUCUAAUGUUGGCUGUAAUAUGGUACACAGUAGGGAGUCCCUUAGAACCACCAGUGAUUUAAUGGGGCAAAGAACGGGUUUAUUAACAAAUAACAAUAAUUACUGAGCUGCCGCUGUCCGUGGUGCUGGAGGUGUCGCCUGAGCCCCCGGGGACCAGCCACGCCCCAGGCCUGGCCAUGAUCGUCUCAUUUAUCUGGUCUUUGAAAACACCCGAGCAGGUGCACACCUGGUGGGAAGGGCCUCGAGCUUCCUGUGUAGUGUCAGGAUCGGGAGGGCUCGGAAUAGCUGAGAAAAAAGUGAAAGAUGCCUGCAGGGCUAGACAGAAAAAUUAAUUAUUCUUCUUCAGGCAUGUUUUUGCAUUCCAGGUCUAAAAGAACUAUCUUAAUGUUUAUAAAGUGUACUGAAAAAAUACCUUAACCCUCUCCACAUACAUUUGCUAUUUUAUUUGUCAUUUGUCAGCUGCAAUUUUAGAAAGUUAAAGUUGAGAAACUAACCCAGCUGAGAUUAACAGAGAGCCACUUUAAAGUCACUUUCUUCCAGAAUGUCAUAAUACAGUAAAACAACAAUCUCAAUGGCAGGAAAAUCCAUGAUGGAAGAGUUCACACACUUUUAGCUCUGGGGAAAUCCAACCAUGAGGUGGGAAACAGAUUUCGCAAGUUUCACUGUUAUCAAAAAGAAUUUCUUCUAAAUUGAUGACUUACCAAAACGCUUUCAUGCUCUUAGACUUGAUAAACUGGAUGACUGUAGUAGAUAAAGAAUUGGCUGGAUGGUCACACUCCAAGAGUUUUGGUAACAAUGGUAACUGGUUUGCCAGUCACCCCUGGGUUGAACUGAAAUUCAAAGAAAGGAUAAAAGAAGACUCAAGGUGUAAAUACAAACUUCAAAGCAAGGUAAAU
This is a long non-coding RNA of Catharus ustulatus (Swainson's thrush), 7177 nucleotides long. RefSeq lists it as uncharacterized. The record is from RefSeq and is a predicted model, not a curated record. The transcript is spliced from 4 exons. Lineage: Eukaryota; Metazoa; Chordata; Aves; Passeriformes; Turdidae.